Molecule: RNase P RNA, 393 nt
Filed under: Saccharopolyspora hirsuta
Lineage: Bacteria; Bacillati; Actinomycetota; Actinomycetes; Pseudonocardiales; Pseudonocardiaceae
Description: RNase P RNA component class A
Rfam family: Bacterial RNase P class A
About the family: Ribonuclease P (RNase P) is a ubiquitous endoribonuclease, found in archaea, bacteria and eukarya as well as chloroplasts and mitochondria. Its best characterised activity is the generation of mature 5'-ends of tRNAs by cleaving the 5'-leader elements of precursor-tRNAs.
Source: RNAcentral
UGAGUCGGCUGGGUGACCGCGGCGGGAGCGAUCCCGUCGAGGAAAGUCCGGACUCCACAGGGCAGGGUGGUUGCUAACGGCAACCCGGGGCGACCCGCGGGACAGUGCCACAGAGAGCAGACCGCCCGGCGGACACCGCCGGGUAAGGGUGAAACGGUGGUGUAAGAGACCACCAGCACCCCGGGUGACCGGGGUGGCUAGGUAAACCCCACCCGGAGCAAGGCCAAGAGGACGCCCGACCAGGCGUCUGCGCGGACGAUCGAGGGCGGCCCGCCCGAGUCCGCGGGUAGGCCGCACGAGCCCGUCGGCGACGGCGGGUCGAGAUGGAUGGUCACCGAAGGGACGGCCGCGAGGCCCCCGGAACAGAAUCCGGCUUACAGGCCGACUCAUCCG